AGUGAUGGUCAAAUGAAGCUUAGCAAACCACUGUCUUUAUUUUCUGAGUUCACUAGAUGGCGCUCUCUGUUCAACAAAGGGUUAAAAACACCCUGAAUUGCCAUUCCUUUAACACUUGUAUUUAAACCAAAAUUGCCAU
Long non-coding RNA from Etheostoma cragini (Arkansas darter), 139 nucleotides. RefSeq lists it as uncharacterized. NCBI's taxonomy places the organism in Eukaryota, Metazoa, Chordata, Actinopteri, Perciformes, Percidae. The transcript is spliced from 3 exons. The record is from RefSeq and is a predicted model, not a curated record.